AAAUCGAGACGAAAAAGAAAAGAAAGAAAGAGAACACAACUACACAACAAAAGAAAGGAACCUCUCCGCCUCUUAGUGGGGCAUCACCCCAAAGGAUUUUGUCUUCGUUUGUUUUGUUUUUGUUUUGCUUU
This 131-nucleotide non-coding RNA is filed under the name Paramoeba aestuarina. The record is from RNAcentral. Lineage: Eukaryota; Discosea; Flabellinia; Dactylopodida; Paramoebidae.